GAGGGGCUCGCGGCCUAUCAGCUAGUUGGUGAGGUAACGGCUCACCAAGGCGAUGACGGGUAGCUGGUCUGAGAGGACGACCAGCCACACGGGAACUGAGACACGGUCCCGACUCCUACGGGAGGCAGCAGUGGGGAAUUUUCCGCAAUGGGCGAAAGCCUGACGGAGUGACGCCGCGUGGGGGACGAAGGCCUUCGGGCCGUAAACCCCUGUCAGAGGGAAAGAAGGGUGUCGGCGUGAACAACGCCGCCAUCUGACGGUACCUUCAGAGGAAGCCCCGGCCAACUCUGUGCCAGCAGCCGCGGUAAGACAGAGGGGGCAAGCGUUGCUCGGAAUUACUGGGCGUAAAGGGCGCGUAGGCGGGAUGGCAAGUCGGUCGUGAAAUCCUUCGGCUCAACCGAAGAACGUCGGCCGAUACUGCCGUUCUUGAGGGAUGCAGAGGAGACUGGAAUUCCCGGUGUAGCGGUGAAAUGUGUAGAGAUCGGGAGG
RNAcentral lists this ribosomal RNA (489 nucleotides) under uncultured Chloroflexota bacterium. RNAcentral's name for it is "bacterial SSU rRNA". It matches the Rfam family "Bacterial small subunit ribosomal RNA", at positions 224 to 704 of the family's 1533-position model. The record is from RNAcentral. Lineage: Bacteria; Bacillati; Chloroflexota.